ACACACAGAAAAAGGGACAUUAGACUAUUUCCAUUGUUAGUGUAUCUAAUCAACAGUCCUGGAUCUUGACCGAUCAGAUUAACCGGCCAUAUCUUCUGGGAGAAGUAAGAUAAUGCAUGGAUACAGAAGCAAAAAGAAAGAAGCUUUUGAGGUCACUAACUUUUAGAGACGGUUUGUUACACAGGAAGAACGCAUUGAUGCAGUGCUGGAAAUUCAACAGCAGUUUCAGAGAUGAGAAGACAUCUGCUGUCAGAAGUCAGAAGUCAGAAGACUUGAGUCCAGGCCCAAUUGGGAAACUGACCAAAUAUCUAGGUCCUGUGUGGAAACUGAUACCCUAACCCAAAAGAAUGCACGUACGGGCUGGUGGAGGGAAUCACAUCUCUUGGAAGACUGGUAUAUGGACUUUUUCUUUUGUUCCAACUUAGAUUAAUUGUGUGACCUCAGGCAAGGCAUGUUCCUGUUCUUGGACCAACUGUCUCCAUCAUAUAACAUACCUUUUUUACAGUCCUUUCCUCCCCUGGUGGUCAGUGGUUCUUAUUCUUUCCAGAUUCAAAUCUAAUUACAGUUAUAGAGGGGAUCUUGCAGAGCACCACACAUAGACAGCUGAAUGCUAGUCUCUUUCUGUCAGAAUUCUGUCUACACUGAAGGAGUGCAAUCCUAUAAGGUCAAUCCUAGGAGGUCAACUUGCUCCUGAGUUAAGAAUGUUCUGACUUAAGAGUGACUCCAGCACCAGUUACAAGGAAAGAACACCAA
Long non-coding RNA from Panthera uncia (snow leopard), 753 nucleotides. RefSeq lists it as uncharacterized. The transcript is spliced from 4 exons. The record is from RefSeq and is a predicted model, not a curated record. NCBI's taxonomy places the organism in Eukaryota, Metazoa, Chordata, Mammalia, Carnivora, Felidae.